Long non-coding RNA from Gossypium arboreum, 468 nucleotides. RefSeq lists it as uncharacterized. Lineage: Eukaryota; Viridiplantae; Streptophyta; Magnoliopsida; Malvales; Malvaceae. The transcript is spliced from 2 exons. The record is from RefSeq and is a predicted model, not a curated record.
UGGAUUUAAAGAGCAAUUAGACCCAAAGGUUAAUGGCUGGACGGUUUGGGUAUGAAAUAAGCAAGAAAACAAUGUGAACAAGGGACAAAAUUGGAAUUAGCAUAAAAGUUAAUAGUUAAAAAAAUGAUGUAAUUGAAAAUCUAGACAUUUCUUCAUCUUUCUCAGCCAGAAACGCCGUAGCAGGUCUCCUAUGCUGGUUUUUCAUUUUUUUGCACCAUUACUUAUCUAGUCACUCGAGGAUCGAAGGAAAUGUCGGAGGCCGAUCACACUAUCAAAGAAAUAACUCGGUAUAACUAGGCGUUUUGUUUUAGGUAUGGCAUGUAUAGAAACUUAGCUACUUUUGGUAUAAUAUGAAUAAUGAAUGAUGUGUAAAUACUUGCUAGUGAUUAGCUAAGAAAAUAGCUGAUGAUAUACAUGUUUAUUAAUAUGUAUGAUUGAAUGAUGAUUAUCACAUGAAAAUUAUGAAAA